UAAUACGUAGGUGGCAAGCGUUGUCCGGAUUUAUUGGGUUUAAAGGGUGCGUAGGCGGCCCUGUAAGUCAGUGCUGAAAUAUCCCGGCUUAACCGGGAGGGUGGCAUUGAUACUGCGGGGCUUGAGUACAGAUGAAGUCGGCGGAAUUGACGGUGUAGCGGUGAAAUGCAUAGAUAUCGUCAAGAACACCGAUAGCGAAGGCAGCUGACUAAGUUGUAACUGACGCUGAGGCACGAAAGUGUGGGGAUCAAACAGGAUUAGAUACCCUGGUAGUCCACACUGUAAACGUUGAUGACUCGCUGUUUGCGAUACACAGCAAGCGGCCAAGCGCAAGCGAUAAGUCAUCCACCUGGGGAGUACGCCGGCAACGGUG
RNAcentral lists this ribosomal RNA (373 nucleotides) under uncultured bacterium. Its description in RNAcentral is "bacterial SSU rRNA". It matches the Rfam family "Bacterial small subunit ribosomal RNA", at positions 521 to 896 of the family's 1533-position model. The record is from RNAcentral.